UUGAUUUAAUCAGUAAGUUCAAAUAACAACCACUACAACAUGUUCUUGCUUUUGUACAGUGUGUGUUGUUUCAGAAAGACAGAAGACUGGACAGUGUGGAGCAGCUGGAUUUUCACAGCCUUUUCUGAUCACACAGGAGAUCACAGAAUGGAUGACCUGAGUGAUUUCCUGAAACAAAGGAAUAUUCCAGAGGAAACUAUCGAGACCAUGCUGAGAGAGAAGAUUGAUACCAACGUCAUCCAGCUCAUGACAGAUGAAGAGUUAAAGAAUUAUUUGCCAUCAUAUGGAGACCGCAUAGCCCUGUUAGGAUACUGUAAAAGAAAGGAAAAUGGCCCCCCAAACAGUCGCAAAUCAAAACUGUUUGAGCGCUUGAAAUCAAAGCUGGGUAAAAGAAGAACUGCUCAUGAAGAUGGCUGUGGUAUGGACAAAGAAGAGCAAUCUGAAACAACUGUAAAGAAGAAUGCUCUGAAGUCAAAGAGAAAAAUAGAAAUAGGCUGGCUGCUUUAU
Molecule: long non-coding RNA, 507 nt
Organism: Poecilia latipinna (sailfin molly)
Lineage: Eukaryota; Metazoa; Chordata; Actinopteri; Cyprinodontiformes; Poeciliidae
Exons: 3
Source: RefSeq, a predicted model, not a curated record